CGAAGGGGCGUAGCGUUGCUCGGAAUCACUGGGCGUAAAGGGCGCGUAGGCGGCCGAUUAAGUCGGGGGUGGAAAGCCUGUGGCUCAACCACAGAAUUGCCUUCGAUACUGGUUGGCUUGAGACCGGAAGAGGACAGCGGAACUGCGAGUGUAGAGGUGAAAUUCGUAGAUAUUCGCAAGAACACCAGUGGCGAAGGCGGCUGUCUGGUCCGGUUCUGACGCUGAGGCGCGAAAGCGUGGGGGAGGCAAACAGGAUU
Molecule: ribosomal RNA, 257 nt
Filed under: uncultured bacterium
Lineage: Bacteria
Description: partial 16S ribosomal RNA
Rfam family: Bacterial small subunit ribosomal RNA
Source: RNAcentral